This 3090-nucleotide long non-coding RNA is filed under the name Rhagoletis pomonella (apple maggot). RNAcentral describes it as "uncharacterized LOC118740620". Lineage: Eukaryota; Metazoa; Arthropoda; Insecta; Diptera; Tephritidae. The record is from RNAcentral.
UAAGUUUCAUCAAUAUUCGUAUAGGUAUUCCAUCCCCACCAAUAGGCAAUUGCAUAGAGGAAUAAAGCCUCCACGAGAUCAUGAAUACAGCAGGCUCUCGCUUUAUAUGUUUUAGUAGGCAGAAGAACACCCAAAGGGCAGUUUAUUCUACGGAGCCAAGGGCAAUAACAGACGGAGUACGUCGUCGAAAUAAGACGAUCCAAGGAUUAAGGAUAAAAAUAUCAAAAUUAAGCGAAUUGUCAAUUAGCACAAGACCCGAUAAUCAUUCACAGAGCAGCUUUGAAGUCCUUGUGUGAUCUGUUGGAAAAACAACCAGCCAGUCAUGAACAAGACCAUCUCCUAGCAGUUGAUAAUAAAGAACACAACCUGUUUCUAUUCUCACAGAAAAUCGCAAGGAUUUCGGUGAUUCGUCUGCGAGCAUCAUCGCCUCUCCUUCGCGGUUGAGACACCCAAAGCUUUACUCCUACCAUCAUUCGCAACGCGUCUGGGAUUUGCUUUCUACCAGUGAGGAUUCCGCAAAAUCCUUAAAACGUUCACUCUGAUGCACUUCAUAUCGUCACAAAUACAUGGGGACCUGAAUAAGAAUGGAUCGUGUGCUAAGACCCGAUAAUGCCAUUCUCUUACAAGUCGCUAGUUUUUCAAUUACCAGGACGGCACUCUCUCACACACUUUGAUUGGCUUCUAACUCGAGAAACUGCACUGCAUCUUCACGGCGCGCAACUUGCAGACAUCCCAACCUAGUCAACGGUCACAUUAUUUACUACCUGGACAAAGGAUGUGAUCCUAUAGUGGCACGCGGAGGCAGACGGGUCCAAGAUGUCGACCGUAUAUCAUUGUCGAAGGGACACUCGAAUCACCCUUGCCCAACUCCGGUCUGGUUUAUGCAGUAUGCUGAGCUCGGGGUUGCGAUAGGAUCAAUUCAGAAAUGCGGAAAUGGCUAACCGCAGUCUAUCUGCGCAUGCUCCAUACCAUCGAUCUGACACCAGCUGCAUUCUGGAGCCCAGCAAUGAAAAUUCUUCUCCCCUUAAGGCUUGGUUUGGGGUAGAAAAUACAACUGCAUUCUUACAACAAUAAAAUUAGUGAAAUAAUCGGCGAGUGUGAGGCCAAGAGAGCGUACGCCGUCAAUGGGCGCACUGCACAGUGCUUCCGGUCUCUGAGUCGUCGUAAACCGCCAUUUCUGAGUUCAGCUGAGGUAGGAACUUGUUUAGUCUGUGGCACCACGCGUCAUGGAGCUGAGCUGGUCCCACUCGGUAGUUCUUCUAGCCCGAUUUUGUCUUCGCAAGUGUGAAUAGUUAUCCAAAUAGAAUCGCUGUGAACAUUGUUGAGCGUCACUUUUUAUUGUGUCCCAUUGAACAGAAGAUCUAUUUAUGUUCCGAUCAAAGUUUUCAAGCCAGAUUGGUACCGCAAUAGAAAGAUGCUGUGCUGCCUCACCACCAGCAUAUGGCUUUCUUCGUGGUGUUGCCGCAUGGAUGGCAUGAGAUGGCAGCCUGUAGCCCCGUGUGCUUUAUAGUCUCCCACCGAUGUCGGCUCCCCAAACACUGCCGGUUUGCGAGUUGAUGAAUUUGCUCAUGGCACUUUAUUCCUUGCAAGUGGUGACGGUAUGUGAUGAGAUGGAGAAGAGACUGUUCAAUGUGGCUCCAAGAUCUUGUGGUGGUCCAAAGUGGAGGCUAGGAUGUCUUGCAAAAAGGUCGAAAGGUUAACCGUACGCGUGCCUUCGUUAAGCCAUCUGCAGCUUGAUACGACCUAUCAAAAGAUCACAGUGGUUGAAACCAACCACACAAACAGACAAAUAAAACACGGCUAUUACCGACCUCAUUCAGAUAGCAGUGUAUCGAUAACGAUGUUAACGAGGGAUUAGUGUUAACAAGAUAGAAUUUAUUGUCAGCCCUAGUUGUUGUCUUAACAGCAUAAAAACUCCCCAAAGAGUUUUGGGGGAUGUUGUUGAAGUGACAGUCCUUGGCCUGAUACAAAUCUGAUUCAUUCCGGUUACGUAAAUCCGAUUGUCGCGGGAACCCCAUCUCCUGCUCAGUCAUCUUUGGCAUUAUAAAUAUCGUCCUCGAAAUUUCACUGCAAUCCCUUAUUUAUCGACGUAAUUUACACAAACCUUCAAUGACCUGCAUUACCGGCAAUGAACUACACUUGCGUCACCUGCUGGCAAAAAAACCGUAAGCUAAUGUGAAAACCUUAAUAACAUAACAAUCCACCAAAAUGCACUACCGGAAAUUACUAGAAUGUGCGCGCUGAACCGGUUGGUAACAUUUUUCCCUCAACGCAUCAUUGCCAGCGACUACAGCGACACGCCGCGCCGGUGCAAAUGUCAAUAUUACUGGAAUGCACUACCGGAAAUCAUUUGUACUACUAAAAGCACAGGGUGGUAUGAUUUUUUUUUUGUUUUUUUUUGAUUUUGUUUUUUCGAUUUUGUCAGAUAUUUGACAUUCGUACUUUAGUUCGUUCGUUCGCAGUCGUCAGUUCAGUUCGUUGUGAAGAGUUUUUUGCAGAUGGAAUGUGAAUUUACGCAUCGCUUAAAUAACCUUAAUUGUGCAAAAUAAAGUACGUGUAAACGUUUCGUUAACGAAAAACACAUGUUUAUAACAAGACCACGCUAUCGAAAUUGUGAAUAAUUCCAACUGAAACUGCAUCCUCUCUGUGUGUGUGUUUAGCACACGUGUAGUGGAAUAAUUAGCUGAAAGAUCAAUAUCUAAAAAACAUCAACAACACAUACUAAUUAGCAACAACAACAACAACAACCAAAAUUCAACACUUACAAUAAAUAAACAAAAGUUUUAUUUCUUCUGUUUGUGAGAAACAAUGCUAAAAAGGAUCGGCAAAAAUAUUUUAAUAUUUUUCAAAAGCAAAAAAUUUUUAUGAUUUUUUGAAUUUUGUUUCGUUUUUUUUUUUUGUUUUUGCUCGAUAAGAUUCGUGCCACGACGAUCACUUCAGAGGCAGCUAAUCAAUUGGUGCGCAAAGUGAGGUGUGCGUAAAUAACGGAACGAGACGCGUUGCGGCUCUUGAGCCCCUCGACGAAAAUAAAGCGGAAAAAGAAAAACAAUAAAAAACACAACAACAACACAUAUGGUGUACACAAAUAAA